RNAcentral lists this ribosomal RNA (465 nucleotides) under uncultured ciliate. RNAcentral describes it as "SSU rRNA". It matches the Rfam family "Eukaryotic small subunit ribosomal RNA". Lineage: Eukaryota; Ciliophora. The record is from RNAcentral.
AUUUGUCUGGUUAAUUCCGAUAACGAACGAGACCUUAACCUGCUAACUAGAUUCUUCUAUUUUAUAGUUGAUAUCUUCUUAGAGGGACUAUGUAAUACAAAUACAUGGAAGUUUGAGGCAAUAACAGGUCAGUGAUGCCCUUAUAUGUCCUGGGCUGCACGCGUGCUACACUGAUGCAUACAACAAGUGCCUAGCCAGACAUGGUAUGGCAAUCUCGAAUAUGCAUCGUGAUGGGGAUAGAUCUUUGCAAUUAUAGAUCUUGAACGAGGAAUUCCUAGUAAGUGCAAGUCAUCAUCUUGCAUUGAUUAUGUCCCUGCCCUUUGUACACACCGCCCGUCGCUCCUACCGAUACCGGGUGAUCCGGUGAACCUUUUGGACUCAUUUGGGAAAGAUAAGUAAACCAUAUCACCUAGAGGAAGGAGAAGUCGUAACAAGGUUUCCGUAGGUGAACCUGCRGAAGGAUCA